This 705-nucleotide unclassified non-coding RNA is filed under the name Hevea brasiliensis (rubber tree). Lineage: Eukaryota; Viridiplantae; Streptophyta; Magnoliopsida; Malpighiales; Euphorbiaceae. The record is from RNAcentral.
UUUUUUUUUUUUUUUUGCCAAAAGGUAAACGCUCAUUUAUAAGUGGGUUUAGAUAUAGUCCGUGGCUUAAGGAGACAAACCAAUACAAGCAAACCUAAAUCACAACAAUGAAAAGUAAAACAACUAGGGGCCCAAAAUUAAAAGGGCCCAAGCCCACAGACUCAAACCCUAAGCUAGCAGAACGAGAGGUAGCAGAGCGCCAGAGCCAGCGGCGUCGGCCCCGUAACCGAUCCCUUCUGGGAGAUGAAGACUUCAGGCUUUUGGAAGUGCAGUGAUCCACAAAUCUCCAAAAGCCAUAGCUCACCCAUUAGGAUCAAUCUUUCAAACACAGUAAAGAGCCUCAAGAACCGGAUAUUUUUUUUUUUUUUUCAGAAGCCUCAAGAACGUUGGUGAGAUGGUAUCCAUAUUCUGAGAUGAGGACUAUGCUUAAGAAAUGUACUCUGCCUCUUGAGCUAAGGAGUUAAAUGUGCAUAGUUAUUACACCAAGUCGCCAAACAAGAAACGGCGAAGGGAUCACAAACAAUGCGGUAAUAAUAGAGAAUGAAAGGAGAAAGGGUGGUGGCUCAACUCUAGUAAAUCGAAGAUGGAAGGAGAGUCAACAAGACACAAAGCAAGGAAGCUGCUGGGUUUUGAGGGAUAGGGAAAGCACAAAUGUAAAGGGUUGUGCAUGGUUUUCAGGCCCUGAAUUGAUAAGGUAAAGGGUUG